CCUACGGGAGGCAGCAGUGAGGAAUAUUGGUCAAUGGGCGUAAGCCUGAACCAGCCAAGUCGCGUGAGGGAUGAAGGUUCUAUGGAUCGUAAACCUCUUUUAUAAGGGAAUAAAGUGUGGGACGUGUCCUAUUUUGUAUGUACCUUAUGAAUAAGGAUCGGCUAACUCCGUGCCAGCAGCCGCGGUAAUACGGAGGAUCCGAGCGUUAUCCGGAUUUAUUGGGUUUAAAGGGUGCGUAGAUGGCUUGUUAAGUCAGCGGUGAAAGUUUGUGGCUCAACCGUAGAAUUGCCGUUGAAACUGGCAGGCUUGAGUAUGUUUGAGGCAGGCGGAAUGCGUGGUGUAGCGGUGAAAUGCUUAGAUAUCACGCAGAACCCCGAUUGCGAAGGCAGCCUGCCAAGCCGUGACUGACGCUGAUGCACGAAAGCGUGGGGAUCAAACAGGAUUAGAUACCCCGGUAGUC
Molecule: ribosomal RNA, 460 nt
Filed under: uncultured bacterium
Lineage: Bacteria
Description: partial 16S ribosomal RNA
Rfam family: Bacterial small subunit ribosomal RNA
Source: RNAcentral